GUUUUUGAAUGUAAUAGGGUAGUUAUAACAAAAGGAGUGAAUUUUGUCGGAAAAGAAUUUUUAAGUGAUGGUUUAUUUAAAUUAUAUGUAUCUUCUGUUUCUAUUAAUGAAAGUGCUCUUGUUAUGAAUGUUAUUUCUCCUAAUAUUUGGCAUGAAAGAUUGGGACAUGUAAAUUUUAAUACUAUCAAAAGGUUGAUGCAUCUUAAUUUGAUUCAUAAAUUUGAUUUACUUGAUCAUAAAUGUGAAAUAUGUGUGCAAGUUAAAGAGCCUAGGAAACCAUUUAAAUCUGUGGAUAGAGAUUGUGAUCUUUUAGAAUUGGUGCACUUUGUGAUGGAAGUAGACCUAGUAGAGGUGGAAAUAAAUAUUUUAUGACAUUUAUAAAUGAUCAAUCAAAGUAUUGUUAUGUUUACUUGAUAAAAUCUAAAGAUGAGAUUUUAAGCAGAUUCAAGAUUUACAAGGCUGAAGUUGAAAAUUAAUGAGAUAAGAAAAUCAAAAUUUUGAGAUUUGAUCGAGGUGGUGAAUAUAUUUCGAAUAAGAUGAUUGCUUUCUGUCAAGAGUUUGAAAUUGUGUAUCAGGUGACUGCUCCUUAUACAGCUCAAUCUAAUGUAGUUGAUGAAUGUAAGAAUAGGACUUUGAUGGAUAUGGUGCACUCGAUGAUUAUUAGUUCAUGCGCACCUGAGUACUUGUGGGGGGAUUUUAACGGCUGGGAUGUAAUUACAAUAAAAUCAAGAGAUUAGGCACUCAAUUGCAAAAAAAAAUGUUGGGGACCCAAGUAAAAAUUGGUGCAAAGGUUGGGGACCAACGUGUGUAAUUAACCCUUAAUUUUCAUUGAGAAACUAAAGAUUGAAUAACAGAAUUCCAAUAGGAGAAGUAUUGUGUGUCCUCUUGCAAUCCCUUAUAUUCAGUAAAAUAUAUUUUUUCCUAUCUUCUGUUUUGACCCGAUGUUUGUUUCAUAUUCAAAAGAUUUCUAAAUCUUUCUUCUUCCUUUUGUUCCUUGUUUGGGAAACGAUGAUUGUUUUCUAAAGUUGGUUUAAGGACCUUGGUUGAAAGUAGGAAUUUAAAUGUCUAUAAGCACGAGCCGUAUUCACCGUAUCGUAUCGUGUCAACAAGAUAUCGGUAUUAUACAAUUCUUGUGGCGAUGACAAAGCUCAAAUCUUCUUUUCUUUAUAAAUUAAUUAGUACGUAAUGUUUUUUAAUAAAAUUCAAAAAAAUUUAUAAAGAUACAUAAUAAACAAUAACAAUUUUGUUGCUACAGAAAAUAAAUAAAUUUUGUUGCUACAGAAAUUCAUACCAUUAUAUGUCGGCACAUAUGUAUUUUUUUUUACCAGCACUCAUCGGUAGAUAUGUAUUUUUUUGAUCGGCACUCAUCGUGUAGUGUUCCUGAGCUUUGGAUAGGAUUGGCUUCAGUAUUUUAGACUGGUCGACAUCUCUGGAGAGUGUCGGACUGAGUCGGAGUCAAUUCUGCACGAAUUGGAUGCAGAAUUGGACUCGGCGCACUCAAAUAAGCAAAACUGGAGUUUUGCCAGAUUCGGGCGCCCAGAAAAUGUUUAGGGUCGCCCAGAAACGAGUGUUUAAUUUAACUGAAACUGGAAGCCAAUUCGGAUCCCAUGUUCCGGGCGCCCAGAAGUGGGUCCGGAAAUUUCACCUCGUAAAUAUCGCUUGCUUCGACGCGUGGCAGGGUGGUAGGUGAGUUCCGCCGGUGCCGUUUACGGGCGCAGCACACCGCGGGCGGAGAGUCCGAAGGGCCCGGUUUGUGCUGUCGGGAUGUUCUGGUCGCCCAGAACAUGUUUCCGGGCGCCCAGAAACGCCCGUUUCUGCAGGGACAGCAGAUUGCAAGCUUUGUUCUUGAGGUUCAUUUGAUCCUAUUUUCACUCUAUAAAUAGUUGGAAUGUGUCCCUUUGCUGCUCUUUUCUUCCCUCCUACACAGAGAAACCCCUUGUAGCAUCUCAAACCUCGGAUUUGCUUCAAAUUGCAUCAAAUGUCCAUUGAUCCAGCUUGAUGGUGUGCUGAUUCUGCAGUUCUUCAGCGACGACCUCCAGCGUUUUGGCUCGUGCGCGACGUAGGAAGGUCGGAUUUCAACGAAACUUGGUUUGCUGGAUUCUUGACUUUCAGAGGAAUCCACGAAGCCUUGAUUUGCAGAAUUUGGUGAAGGUUAGCUCAGUCGAACUCAGGUUUUCCUCUGCUGCUGUUGCUUUGGACAGAAUUUGCCAAUUUUUGAGUUUUCUUGGGGUGAACUUGGGAAGCAGGGGCUUUGUGGAGUUGAGCCAUUUUCCCUAUCACCCAGUACUGGAAUUGGGACCCUCUUCACCUGAUUUGGAGUUCGUUAGGUGAGUUUUGACAUUGGAAUUGAGAUAUUUAAGCUUAAGUGCUGUUUUGCUGAAAUUCAUCGUCGACUGUUAGUAUUUCAGCUCGUACUCGACGUAGGAGCAUCGGAUUUCGACGAAACUUGAUUCGUUAGUUUCGGGACUGCGAGAGGAAUCCACGAAGUCCUUACUUGUGGAUUUUGGUGAAGGUUAGCUUGGUCGAAACCCUUCUCUUCCUUGCUGCUGUGUAUUUGGACUGAAUUGUGGAUUUUGAUGUUGAUAGCUUGGAGAUAGCUUGAUUGUGAGACUCGGACAUUUUCCGUCGAUCCAGCAGGUUGUGCCACAGCCGAGGGAGUCCCGUGCUGCCAGGAAUUGCAUUAGAGGUGGGUUAUCAUCGGUUUCGCUCCUAAGUGCAUGUUAGUCAACGUGUAUGGUUCGAUUGUUGUAAAUCAUGCUCUAAUUCAUCGAUUAGCAUUUUUGAAUGUAAUAUGAAUGUAGAAGCAUGCUGAAAUGAAUAUUUAGAUUAUACAUGUUGGACUUGAAAUUUGACUUAGGAGAAAACCUGCGUUUUGACCCGUCAUAUGCUUAAACUACCAGAUUUAGCUCUAGGAGCCGUGUUUCGAUUGUAUCGUUGCCGUAUUAGUGCGAUGGAUACCUGGGGUAGUUUAGAUGGCAUUUACGCUCGUGCUGAGGUGCCGAGCUUAUUUUCAGCAGAGUAUAGGCUGUUUCGGGUCAUUGGGUGCCGUUCGGGUUAGCGGUGGACCCAGAUUCUUGUUUUGGUCACAGAUUGUGCCGAGGGCACGUGGGUUUGGUUUGUAGACCUGUUUUGACCCUGUUCACUUGACUUUGGCUAGUUGGAGCCUGUUUGAGCUCGACAGAGAUACGCUGCAUACUCGGUUGGGUAGCGCCCACGAGUGCCACUCCGGAGUCAGGCUUGUGCUUUUGCGUUGGUGUCGCUCACGCCAGUUGGACUUGCUCUCCACGGACCAGUUGUGUGGAUAGAGCCUGAUAGUCGCAACGGGGCAGGGACGGGUGUAUUCACAGUCCCGGGGACGGGUAUGCUUACAGUCCCGAUUGGAUUGGGUCAGAUUUGACAUUUCCUACAGUUGGUUAGUGUAGAGCAUGAUAGUGUAGUGAUUGAUAGCGGUAGAGUGUACUUCCUGCUUUUCCUACUAUUCUUGCUCCCUUCUGUAGACUUAGUGGGUGGACCGAUGUUGUUUUGGGCGGUACCCACUGAGGACUACUUGUUUUUACAGUAGUUCUCACGCCCAGUUGUUACCUAUGUUUUUGCAGAGCCACAGGUUCCGGCUGCUGCACCGUCUGCGGACCAGGAUCGAGGCAAGGGCGUCGCGAGUUAGAGCCCUACCCGACGUGCUGAGCUAGAGGUGCCCUACUGCAGGUAGAUGUUUUGUUUCGAGUUCAUGUACAUAGUAGACCUAACUCGCCAGUGCGAGUAGCUUUGUAUUUUGGAUUUGGACUAUGUAUAUGAAACUCAGCUGGUUUAGUUUCUGUUUUUUUUUAGCAGCUCUCUACUACUGUUCGUAGUAGUGUUUGAUUUACAGGUACAGCUAUCGCUACGUAUACAGGAAAAAUUCCUUUGUAUACGGCGGAUUUGUCGGCGUGCCCGGGGAAAGUAUAAUCCGGGGCGUGACACAUCGGCAGUCGGCACGGUCCGAUACACAUUGUGCUGCCAAGUUUUCGGCAUGGCAUUGUGCCACGACAUUUAAAUUCUUAAUUGAAAGCACUCCUACGCUAUUUUAUGUAAGAAGAUUUAAUCCAGGAUAAACGUAUAGGCUAAAAUAUAUAGAUUCUUUUUAUAAAUAUCUACUUUUAUAUUUUAGCUUUUUUCUUUCAAAAAAUAUCUAUUUUAUCUUUUAAAAAUUUAAAAUUGUACUGAACGUGCCUGACAUAAGUGCCAAAGGACUUGAUAGUUUGUAAUCAAAGUCUCAAAUUCGGAAUCUAAUUACUUUACAUUUUCAGUUAAAUUCACUUUUUUAAAAGAAAAAUUAACGAUGCAGGUGAUAUACUACCCUUCUCUUAAAAAAAUAUUUGAAGUUGUAGCAUUAGCCUAGCACCGUUACUAUUGUAUGGUUCAACCAAGUAAAUUAUUGAGAUACCCAUUAUUAUACUCUUAGAAAUUGUACGAAUAUAUAAAAAAAAUUUAUUUUUUCUAAGAUUAGAUAAUUUUAUGAAAGAGAUCUCUUACUAUUUAUUAUUUUUAAAGAUAAAAUGAGUAUAUCAGUAGUUACUCAAUUGUAUCAUACAAUGCGUGGAACAAUAACAAAAUAAUAAUAUCAUGAAUUUAAGUGCUCGCGCAAGAGCCAAAUCUAAAUAGCCAAGAAAAAAGAGGAAAUGAAGAAGACCAGUCUCCAAAUAUAAAUAUUUAGCAAAUAAAAGGACUUCUUUUUUUAAAAAAUAACCUUUAAAAAAUUUAUAAUAGGUGAAAUAAUUCUUUUAAAAUUUUAUUUAGCUAACUAACCUUCUUCUUUCCAACUCAGUGCCAUGUGUGAUAGAAAUGAGAAAAGUUGCGUUCACCGUCUUUAGAAAGCGGUAAAUUAUUUUCUGUUUUCGGAUUGUUAUUGUUAUCUAUAGAUUUUUUUUUUGUAUGAGUUGUAACUGACUUUUGUGAGAUUGUGAAGAUUGUAUCUAAAUUAUUAAAUUUUUUAUUUGAUUAUUAGGAUUGUAUUGAGCGGUUAUUAGAAUUUUUACAAUAUUAAGAUUUAUAUGAUUUUUUGAAAUUUUAUGUAGUAACUAAAAUUCUAUAUAAGAAAUAUAUAAAAAAAAAGACGUAUCGUUUACCGCUUUCUAUCUCAAGAAAAAGACACGUAAAUAAUUGAAUAUCUUCUAAAGUCUUUUCGACCAAUUAAAAUUAUAAAUAGAUUAUUUGACAAAUUAUAAAUUUCUUAAGGAUUUAUUUGAAAACAAAUUCAAAUGAAUUUAUCAAGCUUAGAAAUUGACCUUUUCUUAUAAUAAUCCUAUAAAAGUUUUAAAUUUGUCCAAUGAUCUUUUCAAAAUGUUAUGAUCUUGUCAAAUAAAUUUGUCAAAUAUUAUGAUCUUUUUGACCAAUUAAUUUUACAAAUGAUCUUGUCAAAAAAAUUUGUCAAAUGAUCUUUUAAUUUGUCAAAUGAUCUUUUUAAUUUGUCAAAAUUUUAAUUUCUCAUUCCACUAUAAGAGUGUGUUUGGUUCGAUGUCGGAAUUGGUAUCGAAAUCGGAAUGAGAAUAAGUUAGAAACAGAGUCGGGAUAAUUCAUUACCUCAUUGUAUAUAGUUCGCCACCUGAAUCGGAAUCAGAAUGAACCAUUUUCAUUGUCGGUGCUUGGUUCAGAUAGAUAUCAAAAACAUAAUCAAAUUAAUAUAUCAAUUUUAUCUUUAUAAUAUAUUAGUUUAAAUUCAAACUGAAAAUUAAAUGUUAAAAAUAUAGGUCAAAAUUUUAAAAUGAUGUCAAACUUUUAAAUAUUUUUUUUUAAAAUAUUAAAAUUUGAGAUUGAACGGAUAAUUCAAAAUAUAAAACUAAAUUUCGAUAUUCAAAUUCAAACCUUAAAUUAUAAUUUAAAUUUCAAUUUGAAUCUAUAAAUUUAAUUUAAAUUUUAAAUAAAAUUUGAAUAAAACUUUAGAUUUUAAAUUAUUAAGUUCAAAUUUAAAUUUAAAUUUAUAAAUAUAAUUUUUAAAUUUAAACUUAUAUUUUAAUUAAAAAAUAAAUUUAAAAAAAUUCAAUUUAAUCGAAAUAAAUCCAUUCUGUUCGGAUUUAAUUUCUAAUUCGGUUCUCCUAGGCGGAAUUGGAAUAAGGGGUUAUUAUAUGGAUAAACAGAUUAGUCAAUUCUGAUUCUUCUACGGAUCUUCAGGUAAAAAAAAGGGCAAACCAAACAGGUCUUACUUAAGCUUCAUCAGCUUCCGCAAGAAUAUAUUGCACACUCUACUGAAAUACUCAGGAUGCCUAAGUGGGUGCUCGUUGGAGAUCAACAAAAAGAUGAUUAAAACCGACCGUCUCUAGUGCAAGUGGCAAAAGGUUUGAUGGUUGAUACCCGAGGUCGCAAGUUCGAAUUCUAGUUGAUUCACAUUUGUAAUAAAGUUUUUUUCUAAAAUGAAAUAAAGGAAGCGAUAGUCUCACAAAAAAAAAAAAAAAACAAAAACAAAAAGAAGAGAGAAGAAUGAGCAAGAAGAAGAAGAAGAAGAAGAAGAAGAGGAGGAGGAAGAAGAAGAAGAGAGGUUCCUAUAUAUGCAAAUAUAUGUGAAAGUUAUUUUCGGGUUUGAAAACAUGAUGAACCCCUGUUGUAGAGGAAAUUAUGGAAAAGCCCCUCUCUCUCCCCUCCUACGCCCAUGCUCUCUUCUUCCUCUUCUUCUCCUCCGACCCCCGCACCACCUCUCCCUCCUCCGCUCUCUCUCCUCCCAUCCCCCACUCCCACCCCCACCCCCACAAACCCCAAUCCCAGUCCAAAUGCCAGUUCAAUCCCGAAACACCCCCCGCACCCCCUACGUGUUCGACGAAACGCCCCAACGAGACCUCUUCUCCUGCUCCGCCGUGAUCAACCUCCACCUCAAGAACGGCGACCUCGCGCGCGCCGAAUCGCUGUUUCGGCGAUUACCCGUGAGAAACGUGGUAGUCGAAUCGAUGAUGGUCGACGGGUACGUGAAAGCGGGUGAAAUUGAGGCGGCGAAGAGGCUGUUUGAUGAGAUGGGGGAAAGGAAUGUGGUGGCGUGGACGUGCAUGGUGUCCGGGUAUUGCAGCGCCGGGCGGGUGGAGGAGGCGCGGAGGUUGUUCGACGAAAUGCCGGCGAGGAACGUCGUGUCGUGGACGACGAUGGUGCUGGGCUACGCGCGGAACGGGCGGUUGUCGGACGCGCGUGAGCUGUUCGAUCGAAUGCCGGAGAGAAAUGUCGUCGCGUGGACGGCCAUGAUUAAGGGCUACGUCGAAAACGGUGAGACCGAGUGGGCGAGGAAAUUGUUCGAUCAAAUGCCGCAUAGGAAUCUGUAUUCUUGGAAUGUGAUGAUCUCAGCUUAUUUGGGCAGUAAGCAAGUGAAAGAAGCAAUCGAGUUGUUUGAGGAAAUGCCUUACAGGAAUGCUGUUUCCUGGACUACGAUGGUUUCUGGCCUAGCCCAAAAUGGGUUUAUCGGCAAAGCUCGCGAAUUCUUUGAUUUAAUGCCUAAAAAGGAUACUGCUGCAUGGAAUGCGAUGAUCACCGCUUAUACAAACGAAGGGCUUGUGAAUGAGGCAAGAGAGCUGUUUAAUAUAAUGCCAAAACAGAAUCUCGUGACUUGGAAUGCUAUGAUCGACGGGUAUGCAAAGAAUGAGUGUAAAGAGGAGGCAUCAAGGCUCUUCAGCGUCAUGCUUCAUGCUUCCUUAAGGCCAAAUGAGACUACUUUAACUAGCAUCUUAAUGACGUGUAGGAGCGCUAUAGAAAUCGGACAAAUUCAUGGACUAGCUAGUAAAAUUGGUUUUCAAUCUGAAACCUCACUGGGGAAUGCUUUAGUGACAAUGUACUCGAGAAGCGGUGAUUUAUCUUCAUCUUGGCUUGCUUUCAAGAGAUUGAAUUGCAAGGAUCUUUUUUCAUGGACAUCGAUUAUAUUAUCCUUUGCCGAUCAUGGAUGUGGUAAUUAUGCGUUGCAAGUGUUUGCGCAAAUGCUAAGACAGGGAUUUAAACCAGAUGAGAUUACCUUUGUUGGUGUAUUAUCCGCUUGUAGCCAUGUUGGCCUAGUAGAGAAAGGUAAAAAGAUCUUCGAGGCGAUUAAUGGGACUUAUGGGCUGGAACCGAUGGCCCAACACUAUACGGGCAUAGUGGACCUAUUGGGUCGUGCUGGGCUUGUUGAGGAAGCUAAGAAAGUGGUCGAUACGAUGCCGGUGAAAAUGCAGGAUGAGGCUGUUUUAGGGGCAUUGCUUGGAGCUUGCAAAGUGCAUAAUGAGAUAGAAGUGGCGAGGGAAGUGGGCGAGAAGCUUAUCGGACUUGGUUCAUUGGGCUCAGGAGGUUACACUCUUUUGGCUAAUUUAUAUGCUUCGCAUGGAAAUUGGAAUGAUGUGGCUCGAGUUAGAAGAACCAUGAAAGAGAGGAACGUGAAGAAAGUGGCGGGCUAUAGUUGUGUGGAAGUUAAGAUGGAGAAUCAUGUGUUUUUCGCGAGGGAUCAAAUGCACCAACAAGCAAAGGAGGUUUAUGAGAUGUUAAAAGAAAUGCUUCUCCCACAAAUGAAGGACUUGGGUAGCUUUGAGUUGGAUCAGCUUGUCCCUGAUUGAUCUUCAUUAAUUACCUUAUUGAAAACUCUUUCAUGGCCGCACAUGAGUCAAUAUUUGAUCAAACAUUUCACCCAAAUUCAUCAAUAGCUUGUUUGGGCCUUCUGGAACAUUUGCAUGAGUGCAGCUCGAGUCGAGUAAUUCGAUAAAGCAGUAACACCUUUCUUAUUAAAAUGUCCCCAACAGCUUACCCUCGCAGCAUAAGUAGAAGCUUCAUACUAGGACUCGCUUUUGAGGCUAAAGCUUAUUAUAGCUUCCAAUCGUAGUAAAAACUCUGGACAUUUUAUUUGCUAAAUCCCUGACUCUUGCUUUUCGGAGUGGAGAAAGAGUUCCAAAUGACUGGCCGAGUAGUCACGAAGCUCAGAGAACGUCUGAUAUGAAUUGGCUAUUGGCUUUGUAUUAUGCUUCAAAUAAUUACCGGCUGUCUAUAUAAGGCAAUCCCUUUUGCAUGGGCUAGGGAAGGUGUGAAUUAUUGUUAAUGUUUAAAUGAUUGUUGCCGUACAAUUCUACCGUGGGUUGCGAAAAUGUUAGAGAGGUCGGACCAUUGGAAUGUGGAAAUGGCGAUCACCCUACAGCAGCAGGUUCUGGGCUGUUGGAUGGGGAAAAUGGAGGGUUUUGAUGGAUUUUGUUCUAUAGAGACAUUACUCGAGUUUUAAGAGAAUGGCUCGUUGAAAGGCUUCUUCAAGAAAUUCUUGAACAGAUAGACGUGAGCAAAAAUGAUGAAUGAUUGAAUAUUACACUUCCACUCACUUCUGAGAAAACUUAAGGAUCAGUUGUAUGGAAGGAGGACAUUAUAAUGGAGAUUGACGUACUCUGCAGGUGAAAAAAGUUAAAUGAUGGGCUUAUCGAGAAAUGGUUUUCCUGGAUCUUUGGGUACAUGGAAAUGAAAGAUAGACUUCGUUGUUCCCCGUUUGUCUUGAAAAACAACACACAGUAAUAGCCUUAUAAUUCAGAAGAGGUCUGUAAAGUGAAAUUCAUCACCAUCAGGAGAAAAGAUUAACCAACAUUUUCAAAGGUACUUCACAAUAUACCACCCAAGUCCUCUUGCCAACUUUCUUUUAUUUGUAUUCUUUUUUAGAAUAAUCCUAUAGGAUUCACAUGCUAACUGUUUAAUGAUAAAGUAGGAGAGACAAAAGUGUUUGGUUUUUAAUUUACUAGUUGUAAAGAGUAUGAACAAACUUGUAAAAGUAGCACUCUCCUUGGUUUCUCUUGCUAACUGUUUAAUGGUAAAGUAGGAAGGACAAAGUGUGUGGGUCUUAAUUAGGUAGUUAUAGAAAGUAUGAACAAGCUUGUAAAAGUAGCAGUCUCCUGUGCAGAUCAAUAAAUUUGGAUCUUGAUGAUGUCAAUCAAUUCCUCUUGCUUUUCUUUUAUUUUUAUUUUUUUAUUUUUUGAAGCAGUGAAUCAUUUUAAAUUUGUUGGUCGGUGGGGAAAGCAAUUGGAAAAUGGGAGACAGCAAAUUAACAUUGUGAGCUAUGCAAAAGAAAUUGUGUGUGAACUAAUUGGGAUUAAACUUGAACUAAUUGGGAUGAACUUUUGAAGUCCAAUUUUAUGUUCAGUACGGAAAAAGAAUUAUUGAUAAUUCACCUUUCUUUGAGAGCUUAAACUUUUUGCAAAAUUCAGUAUUCAACAAAAUAGAUGGUCUUCUGUUGGAAUCGUUUGAUAGUUCUAGUCUUAUUAAGUCUCCUCCUAUCUAUUGUUGGACUACCUCUCAUGAGUUUGAAUUAACGUUUGCAAGUUAGCGGAAAUUUCAAUAGAAAUUAUUUUUAUUAUUAUUAUUAUUAUUAUUAUUUUGAGAGAUGAGCAUUGACAAGAAAGUUAUUUUGCUUGGCACUUAUUUCUUAAUCAUUUUGGAUUUAAAUUCUGAAUAACAUUUUUUUUUAAAGUUUGAUUUGGUUACACAGUUAUCACAGAAUUCGUCAAUUUUAUAUGAAUAAUACAUGGAUAGAAUAAGUACAGUACCGAAACUUCCUUUUAUUUAUUUAUUUAUUUAUUGUUAAAGCAUUGAACCUGAAGAGUUUUUCUUGUGGAGAAUGUACUUAAAAAAAAUCAUGUUCUCCACAAUAAAUAAAAUAAAAUUAAAAAAAAAUAAGCAUAAAAGUAAAGAGAAGAAAGAAAGAAAGAAAUAGCUAUAAAUUGUCUGAAUAAUUCUCAAUAGGUUGAAACUAAAACUCUAAUCAAGCUUCUCCCAAGGCUCUUCUACAACCAAACAAAAUUCAAAAAAAAAAAGGUUAAAAACAUAAGGUUGGGAGAGGCUGGUGGUUUAGGUGUCAAUUGUGUUUGGUUUGGUUGGGAUUAAGUCUUAGUCUUUUUAUUAUACUCUUAUGACUAGACUUCAUUGGUCCCCAUUUCAAAAAUUGAAAAUUCAUGCAUUAGAACAAUUGGCAAUUAUAUUCCAUUCCCCUUUUAAAAUUAUUGUUCUGUAGGAGCACUCCAAGCAACUAACUUUGAAAGUAUCCUAAUUAUCAGAUUGUGAGCUUAACAAUGCUAGAAUGUAAAUGACAGAGCAGAUGUAUUAUCUUUGGUUAGUAUUCAGCAAUCUUGAUCCAAUUCGAUGCAUAAGAUCUAUCAAUAGCAAUUUCUACUUUGUACGUAGAUUUUAUGGAUUAUUUAAGAGAGAGAAAAAAGAUGUACGUUACCAAAUUAUAUGAAGCAAACAGGUACAAUCUUGUGAAAAUUGAUUAUAUGUCGUAUUCCUCUAGCAUUCUUUAAAACGAGAAAUCAUUUAUUAAUUACUUAUCAUCCAAUCUUAUGAAUUUCCCAUACAUAUUCGCAUAAAAUUCAUCUCAUCUCUUCUCUUUUUUCUUCUCUUCUCUUCCCUUUUUUUUUUCUUUACACCCAAAAGGGCUAAUGAUAGGUGCAAUUCAUGAAAUUGAAUUUUGCAUUACAAAACUAUGUUCUUAUUCUCAAUAAAUUGCAUCAGAAACAACAAAGGGCAAGAGAAAAUAUACAAAGUACUUUGUUACUAUGUUUUGUUGGAGACUUACUAAAGCCCAUUUCACAUAUUCUUCAUGAUCUUUUCUAUGUGCAGAAGCAUCCUCUUCAAAGACCCUUCUCUUCUAAGAAAGGUAAGUUCCACAUACACCUGCACCAACCGCGCACGCGCCGCAGCCGCACCCCUUCCCACCGAUGAACACCGGCCCCCGAAUCUUCCCCUGCCUCCGCGACCGGAUGGGCUCAUCGAUGGACGAGAAGAUGAUCAUCGACAUGAUCGAAAGCCACACGAUGAUCACGCAGAAGAUCACGUCGCCGCGAUCUGGAGACUCGAAAACCAUGACCAUCUUAUUGCCUAAAAAUUUAUACUCCUUUGUUGUUGUUCACAGUGUUCAAAGAGAAGGGUCUUGUGUAUCUCUAUGUAUAUAGGCUAUUGAGAGGAGAUGUGGCCCCCCCUCAGUUUGUUACUACGCUUCUUGUAUUCAACUAUGAACAAUUACAUUUUUUAAUGUGGAAUUGACUGAGUGAACUACUUUGUGUUGCUUUGGAGGAUAUAAUACUAUAUCACCAUUUUUGACUUGGCCCAUCAUAUGUUCCAAAUAUCUACCCAUGUGUAUGUUAGAUAUGUUUCAAAUUCUUGACCGCGAGAUUUCCUAAUCCUAUCCUGUUUUGAUUAUUCUAUUAAGUUAAGUUUAGAUUAUACCUAAUCUCAUUAAGAUUAUUUUCAAUCUUAGUGAAUUUAUAUUUUUAAUUAUAUUAGGAUUUAGUCACUAUUAUAAAUAUAUCUUUAUUCUAUUGAUUUAGUGUGGCGGAUGAAAGCGAGUAUGGGUGUAUUUUUAUUUUUCUUCUCUUUUUCUUGAUUCUCUUUUGGUAUUUUUGCACCUAAUAAAUUUAUAUCUUUUCCGCUUUUGUCAUAACAAAUCGGUAUCAGAAAAAAUUUGAUAUCAGUGAAAGUCACACAUUUCUAACAGUAUAUACAUACUAAUACAUAAAUAUUUACCAUAAUUUUAUUUUGCUCCCUUUUGUUUUAAAGUAAGGCUCCGUUUGGAUAUUCCUGAAAACAAAGUAUAGUUAAACUAUACUACACUGGCAAGAAAAUUAUUCUGUGAAGCGUUUAGAAGAAAAAAAAUGACGUAAUUUUUGGAGUAUCAUUAAACUAUACUCCAAAAAACGGAUUGAAAUUAAAUUAGUUCAUUGUGUCAUCUGACACUAAUUUAACUAAUGAAAAGAUAACCUAAAUACUAGGAAUGUGGUUUUUGAAUUCACAUAUGCAAUAAAUACACGAAUUAGAGCUCACUUUGGAAAAAAAAAAAAAAAAAAAAAAAAAAAAAAAAAAAAAAAAAAACUGAUGGAUGAAUUUUUUAGAAUGAAGCUUAUUUUAAGGGAAAACUUCAAAAACCACCCAUGUGGUUUCACACUUUCUUACUUUAAUACUUUGUGGUUUAAAGUGUAUCAAUUUAGUGCCCUCUAUUUUUAGUUUUAUAUUUUUAUUAUCGAUUUCACUUAUUUUUUUUGUUAAAUCGGUGACAAUGUUAAAACUAAAGGGUACUAAAGCGAAUAUUCGAUAAACCUAGGUGGGCCAUCUGAAGUUUUUUGUAUAUAAUUUAAUGAAAUAUUAACGAAAAAGUUGACGAAAAGAUAAAAAUGAAACCACAGGAUAUUAACUUGAUACACUUUAAACCACAGGGCACUAACGUGAGAAAGCGUGAAACCACAGGGGUGGUAUUUGAAGUUUACCCUAAUUUUCUAAUCGUGAAUAGUGAUUUGUAUUUUGUUAUAUUUCAAAUGGUACGCCCCGUUUGGUUCAGGGAUAAAGUAGAGAUAACGAAAGUUAUCCCCGCUCUUCCGCCAAAUGGGAUGUUUUUGGGCGUAGAUAUUUUAUCCCGAAAUAUUGCUAUUCUUGGCUAUCCCGGAAUAGCUUGGGAUUUAUUAUUUCACGAUUUUGACGGAAUACUGCUAUUCAAAGGUUUAAUUUCAAGUUUUAUUAAAAUUAUAAAUUGAAUUAAAACUAAAUUAUAGAGACAUAAUAUGUUAUAUAUUAUAAUAUAUUAUUUUUAUUAUAAAAUCUAUUACUAUAUAUAAAAGUAGAACCCUUAAUGAACCCUAUGUGAGAAGCUGACACGUGGCUUUCUAUAUGCUUGCCACGUGUCAAAUUCAAAUAUGGAUAUUUGGUUACGAAUAGAUAUUUGGUUAUAAAAAAUAUCUGCCAUUUUUUUUUAUCUAAAUUGCCCUCAAAUAGUACGUAUCAAAUUUCACUUUUUAUAUGCAUAUCAUAUCUUCUAAUAACCGUCGCCCACAUAAUAUCAUAUUUAAAAAAAUAUAAUAUUAAUUAGAAUAAUUUUUUUAUCAUCCCAUAAUAACUUAUGUUAUUUUAUAUUAUUAUAUUAUCCGUGCAUAGCACGGGGUAAGUACUAGUUAUUAAUUAUACUACUUAAUUUAUUACUCUAAAUAAAUAUUCAAUUAGCUAUUUGAGAAUGAAAAAGGACGGGAAGGGGCUGAUUAGAUAGGGGAAAAGAAGAAAAAGCGCCUUAUAAUUAAUUUAUUAUUUUAAUUAAUUUGCUAAUUAAAUAAUUAAUUAUUUAUUCGUGUACUUAUUCAAUAACCAAUAUUUAUAUUGAUUAAUUAAUUAAUAUUUUGACUAAUUUAAUUAUCUGACUAUUAUUAUAUAACUAAUUUACUUAUUAAUUUAUUAGAUUACUUGUGAUUAAUUAAAUUAUUAAUUACUAAUUAACUUAUUAAUUAAUAUUUAGGGUUGUUUAGCAAUAUUCAUGAUUAAUUAGUAAAUUAAGUAAGUUGAAUUAUUAUUUAAUUAAAAUUUUUUAUUAAUUAAUUAGAUAAAAUAUUAUUAUAUUAAAAGUAUAAUUAUUCUUAUUCUUACUAUUCCGAUCUAACCAUCCAAAUGCUAUUUUACUUAUGUUCCCAAGAAAAAUUCAGUUUUUAUCUAAAUAUAAAAUUGAUUUUAUUCCUGCUUAUCCCAAGAGUUAUAUCUAUCCCAUAGAUAGCCUAAAAUAGUUUAUUCCCAAACCAAACGAUAGAACAUUUUGAAGUAGACUCCUCAUCAACUAUUUUUCAUAAGUACAACCGUGGGAAACUUAUCUAAACAAUGGACCAUUCGGAUUUGACUGCUUAACUUUUUAAAAUUUUGAUUUUACUAUCCAAUCUUUAAAUUUGUUUGAUUUGAAUCAAUCAGCGACACUUUGACUUCAAAAUUUAAAUGCGUCAUUUAUCUUUACAGCUUUAAUUAGUAUAUACACUACAACAGAAUUAGAUUAUAGGGACACAUAUUUGGGACACUUUUGUGUGAGUGUCCCAUUUAUAGUAAAAUUUUUAAAAAAAUCUACUAAUGCCUAAAUAUAAAGUCUAAUCCAAUCAAAAAUAAAAGGUUACUCUAUUCAACCCACCCCACCCAACCUAUUCGGCCCGUUUACAAACAUAAAUGAAAAAGAAAAAAAAAUCGAUUACCAUUUCUCCUUCUCCCCUCACUCAAUCGACUGAAAUCCUAGAUGAAGAUCCCUUCCUCUCGUCCUCCUCCGCCACCGUAGCGAACGAGGUAGAGUUCCGGCGGUUGCUAAAUACUUAAAUAAAUAUUGGUAAAUUGGCAGCACUCUUUUUAGGUUAUAGCGACACUCUUUAACUGUCACUAUAUACCUAGCGACCCCAUAUAUAGCAACACUUUUUAAAAGUAUCGGUAAUUUAGCCAGCAGCACUUUUUUUAACCUGUACCGAUAUUUAAAAGUGUUGCUAUAGACCAUUUUUGUUGUAGUGAUAUUUCAUGCAAUUCUCACCGUAUCGUUGAACUACUCAAAUCAAAUAAAUUGAAAGGUAUCUUUAUAUAGAUUUAGUUAGUAUGUUUUUUUCUUUGACUCCAUAUUAUGUUAAGUAUUCAUUUUCUAUAUUUCUAUUUUAAAUUAUUAUUGAUAUAUAAAGAAUAACUUUUUUUUUUGCAAUGCGUGCCCUAUAAUAAUAUAGUUAAGUUAUUAUAAAGGUGCCCAUACAUGGCAUGGAUACUAAUCUAGGGUACACGUAAAAAAGGACGCAUUAUCGUAUAGUCGUUGAAUGAUAACGUAUAAAAGUUGAUUAUAUGAUGCUCAUCUUAAUGUGCCAAAUAUAUAGGUCAAACAUUUACAUGAGUGAUAUAUAGAGUGGGAGAACUCUAAAAGGCAAACCUUUGAAUAAGAUAUUUAUUGGGAUAUACACCAAAGUCAUUUUCCUAUAGUCACUUAUGUAGUCAUUUUCCUGUAGAUCAUUUUCCUGUGAUUUACACCAAAGUCAUUUUCCUGUAGUCUAUUUAUUGGGAUAUACACCAAAGGCAUUUUCCUGUAGUCCAAUAUAUAAGAUAUUUUCCUGUGAAUAAGAUAUUAUUGGGAUAUACACAAGUCAUUUUCCUGUAGUCCUAUAUAUAUGGUUUUUGUUUUAAGAGAUAGGUAGCAUGCUAUUCGUUUCGUUUAUUUCAUUUAGAAAUAAACUUAGUUAGAAAUGUGAAUCAACCAGAAUUCGAACUUGGGACCUCGAGUACCAACCACCAAGUCUUUUGCCACUUGUGCUAGGGACAGUCGGUCUAUAUAUAUGUUGAUUGUGGAUCAAGCCCAUAGUUUAUGUUGAUUGUGGAGUCCAUAGUUUACGUUGGGGUACGUAGUUGAAUUUCUUAUUUCAAACAAUUAACAUCGUAGAUUUUUCAACUAUGAAAAGGCAAGGAAAAAAAAAUAUUAUAAUUGAAUAAGAAGGCAGGGCAUAGAAGAAAAUAUACCUGUGUGAGAAAAGUAAUGUUGUGAUAUCUAUUAACACUUUUACAGACAUUAAGAUAUACUUAAAAAAUUAAUAAUACCAUGCGGCCUACUGAAAAUAAUAUUAAAAAAGUUAUUUUUUACUAGAGAAUAAUAGUUGUUUCAUAUUAUUUUAGUAUGAUAUACCAGAAGGUCCUAAAUUCUAGUUUUGACAGGCUCUUAUUUUUUGUUAAUUUUCUCCUAUUUUUCUGUAAGUCAAAUUCCGCCAGAUUCCUAAUUAAUAACCGAUAUGCCACAUGUUUCCGCGUGAAUACUGCUUCAAGCAAGAUACCAUGAGGAGAAGCAUAGGAGCUUGUUUGGAAGGAAAAAAAAAAAGAGAAAAGAGAUAAGCGCUAAAUGCAUUAAAUGUGAAAAGUCCCUUUAAAAGUAAAAGCGCCUGAGUAUUUUGCACUUCGUUUUCAAUGAUGAAGCAUUCGAGCUACGUUCCAACUAACAGCAUUAAAUAUGAUCCAAGAUAUUUAAAAUUUUAUAUGAUUUCACGUAGAUCUUUGUCUUGAUAAUCUCGAGAUUCUCUCAGUAAUUCCAUAUUUAUUUGUCUUGGUAGUGGCUCUCUGUACAUAUCAUUUUAAUUAUUAUCCUACGGUUGGUGCAUUUGAGGGAUAGUUAUGAAUGGCAAGUUUGCAGGAAGUUAUAUUAACUUGACCCUCUACCCAAUUUCAGAGUAUUUAUUCCACUUGUAGCACCUUCUUUUGGGUAAAUUACAUUGGAGGUCCCUGUGAUGCUCCGAGUCCAUAAAUUGGGUCCGCUCGAGCACGUACAACAGACCCGCCGAAUGAGUAAAGUUUUUCUUAUUUAUACAAAGUGGAACAUAUACCAAUCUGUACAAGGCAUAAAAGAUAUGGAUACAAGAAGAAUCAGAGUGGGUUUAAUUGUAAAUAGGCCGUGUUGGUUGCCUCGGGCAGUGUGAACUGACUAUGCUGGCCCUCCGGACUAAUUGUCCUAGGUUCGAUGACUCUUGUGGAACUUGAAUAAGUUUUCGAUGCGAUUAUCGACAAACUUGACUGAUCGAUCACGGUUCGGUUCAAGAUUCAUAAUAAACCAAUAUGAAUGCCCUUUUUCUGUUGUCAAGGUUUCUAAGUUGGGUGCCCUCACUAUCUUGUGCUUCCAAAGGCAGUGGGAGGAUUGCAGUGGGUUUGAAGCCGAAUCAGCACUUCUAGCAGACCCAUUGUAGCGUAGUUUUGCUAAACGCACUAUUUAGCGUCAUUAUUGCAUACUGCUACCUGGACACCCAAAUUGGUAUAUUUCGAGACAGCUAGCAAGUAGUUUAUGGUAAUGGUUGAUACCCUCUGGGACACUUCGUAAGCUAUAGAAGUGUUUUCGAUGAGUUUCCGAGAAUUUCGACAGAUUUUGAGAAUCGAUAAAAGGAACCGAUUGCCCGAAGGUAUUUGGGAAGUGAGUUAAAUGACUUUUGGGUCACUUAGGUUAGGGUUAGACUAGAGUUAUGGAGUGGUUUGUAACUCCGUGGGAUCUUUCAUAGGUCCGAGUAAUGUUUAGGAGUAUCAGCAAAGUCAUAGGUGUUUCGCCUACUUUGAGGUAGGUGCUUCAUUCUGAAGUUAUUAAAGUGGUGUCUGCUCGGUGAUUUCUUCCCUUGUCAUCUCCUUUCGAUUACAUGAUACAUUUUGAGCACUUCGUACACCAGUUUGUAGCUUAUUUGCUCUACACUUGCUUUUAUCUCGUAUUUAUCAUGAUUUAGUUAUAGAGCGGCAUUCUAUUGUGUUGGAUAUUAUUGCAUGAUUAUAUAUGGUAGAUGACCUAUUAUAUGGUUGACCUGAUUGGUCAGUGACAUAGUGAUAUCUUUGAGAUAUAGUUGACCUGAUUGGUCAGUGACUUGCUGUUGAUCUCUCUUUCUUAGCUAUCUGCCGAUGGUUGGCUAUUAAGCAUAUAAUAUCGAUCGCCUCACCUCAUGACAUUAGCGGUUUUGUCACGCCGCGAGCCUGCCACUUUGGCCGAAUUCGGGCACGCCAACAGACUGCCAAACGGACAGGGUUUCCCCUGUACCGCGGACAGAAUCUCCCCUGUACGUCCAAGGCGUCACAAUCCAAACAAUGUGCAAGGUUCCAACCAGGAACAGUAUACAACAAAGAUUGCAUAAGGAAGGUAUCGAAACAUAAAUACAACUAAAUUAUUACAAUCAUUAAUCUCACAUAUUACAUUACAUUUUCAUUCUCUUUUUAGCUUCCAAAUACAAUCCGAUUUAACAUAGUUAUUACAACUUUAUUUUUUUCAUCACUAAACCCCUAAGUAGCCGACUCAGGAUACUGCUAUUUCUGGUCUCAAUGGUAGGGCGCUAUCUACGGAGCUAUGCCCUUUCCUCGCGCAGCCGCGCCGAUCACGUGUGAACCAGUACCCCCAAAAACAACACGAGGGUGAGAACUAUUGUCCAUAGUUCCUAGCGGGUACGACCACCCAAGAAAAAAACUCAACCCACCAGGUCUAAAGGAGGCACUGCAAACAUGUUAGUCCAACAAAUAUCCACAGAUAUAUAAUGUAUGCAACUAACAAUUAUCAUGUUCAUGCCUCACAAUAUGCAAUAUGCAAAUCAUGCAACUCAUACAAGUAGAUUAAUUGGUUCUACUCUCUAUCAUUUGCCAUUCGUUAUAUUGUUAGCAAUUCUUAAUCACUUGUCAUUUUUUACUACUUGCAAUUCUUUAUUCUUUGACAUUCUUUAUUAUUAGCCACUCUUUAUCGCUAGCCGUUCUCUAACGCUAGCUAUUUCUUAUUACUAGCCGUUCUUGAUUCUUAGCCAUUCUUUAUUAUUGCUAUACUUUAGCAUUAGCCGUUUUUUAUUCUUUAUUCGUUAUUCAUUACUAAGGGUACUCACAGCUUAGCCAUAUUAUACACAUUUGCCAUUCUUUCCUAAGGUUACUUUACCUUAGCCAAUUAUGCCACUCGACUCGGUCUUGAGUCAAUCAACUGCGGAUAAUCCGCGCUCUGUCCGGCUCGAGGUGAAGGAACUCUCACAUACACCUCAGCCUUCAAUCCACAAACCACAUCGCCCAACGAGUCGCCCAGUGCUGCGUACACCUGUUGUCAGGGAUCUCCCGGUGGGAGAGGAACAUACCGCAUACACCCGCAGCCGAGACCCCCGAUAGGGAGAGGAACAUGCCACAUACACCCUAGCGCUCAAUCUCAAUCCUCGAAGUUCUUCAGGUGGGAAAAGAACAUGCCAGAUACACCGGCGGCCAAGAAAUAUCGAGCUCAUAUACUGCACUAGCAGCCACUGCACUCGCAGCCGAGAUUCCGAAAUCCACUUUCACAACUCUAGGGUUGGCCUCACCCUAUAGUAUCGGCCUAUCUAGGUCCAAGCAUUUACUCAACCUAAGUUUAAUACAUUAGGUUCGUUGCCACUAUACUCAUAGCCUAGGUUCAUUAACACUAGGUUCCAUAUUCUUACUACCUAGGUUCAUUUGGCUCUAGGUUCAAUGUCACUAUAUUCAUAACCUAGGUUUACUUGACUCUAGGUUCAAUUCUUAACCUAUGUUUAAUACAUUAGGUUUUAUUGCCACUCGUGUUCUUGUUUUCGUAGUUGUCCACACCUAGAAAUUAUACUUGACAUCCACUCAUGAAUCACCUAUGUUCAAUGACACUAGGUUUUAUUGCUACUCUUGUCCUUAUUAUUUAUACUUAGGAUUCUUAGUUUACAAGCUAUACUUGUCGAGUUCUUUACUCUACUUAGAGUUCAUCGAUCUAAGUUCUCAUUCUCCAAGGAUGGUCCAUACACAACAGUACUUGCAUUCAUGUAGCAUUUAGUUUAUGCACUAACUUAGUAUAUACUCUAUGCAUUCAUUUACACUUUUCGCAUGCAUUUAUUAAUAGCAUCUUAAUCAUGCAUUUAUAUAAUAUCUAUGUCAUUCAUGUUAUUUAGCAUCUAGCUCAUGUAUUUUGCUAACAUGUCUCAUGCAUUCAUUUGCACCUAUCACAUGCAUUCUUUAGCCUCCACUUCAUGCACUUAUGUAUCUUCUCAUGGUAGGUAAUAACAUCAAGCAUUAUAUGAUUUAUGUACUACAUAUUAUCACAUACAACCUACCAACUACACAUGCAUCAACAAUAUUCACACUUCACUUUGGCAUGAAAGUGAGCUAAACAUUUCGGUGAGCACAACCCACCUCAAAUUGCUUUUCGAUUGCUUGUAGUCACUUGCAAUCAGCCUCCCGCAGCACACGUUGCCCGGUUCGGCCCGAACUCACACUCGACCACCAAACGACCACCAAUCUACAAUUCGAAAAUUUAAUGUCUAUAACUUGAUGCCACGAUGCUCCGGAUCCGUUCUUGUGAUUUUUGGACGUCGCCUCGGCCCUCCAGGCGGAAACGAAGCCAAAACGUCUGUUUCUUCAAUAUCUUCAGGUAGGCUCGACGAAUCGCCGAACCGACUUCGCCAACGCUUCGGAAAUACCUUCAAUUAGGUUUAUUUAGGGUCAAUUUACAUUUAGACCCAUCUAUGACAAAAGCCCCAAUUUUGAUGCCCUAACAAUGUCAUUUGGCCAAUAUACAAUUUUGAUCUCUAAAACAAGCAAAUGCAAGCUUGUUGAACCUCUAGGAAUCCAUCUAGAACCAUUUAAAUCAUUCUUAGGAUGUUUAGAACAAACACUAGAAAUCCACCAUGAGAGCACUAUGAAGAAAAUAUGGUUUUCAUGUGUUCCAUGGCCACUACUAGGUUUCCUCUCAUGUAAGAAGAAGAUCAAAACCAAGUGUUCUAGGGUAUAAAACUAAACCCUAAGAUCAAUCUUAGAAGAAACCUCAUCUUAGCCUAUGGACUCCACAAGCUCCACCUUGUAGGAGAGCUUUAGAUCUUCCAAUCUCCAAAAUCUCCUCCAAAUCCUCCUCUUGAUUUCCUCCUUUCCACCUUGGAGGAGAGUUUCUAGAGAGAGAGAGAGGGAGAAAAUGGGAGAGGAGAUGAGUUCUCAGCUGGGAAUAAGAGAAAAGAGGGGUUGGGGGCUUAUAUAGGCUGUUACAUUUGCAAAUAAGUCCUCCUUCUUUUCACAUUUGCAGCAGACCAACCUGCUGUUUUCGCAGCAUUGUGUACCGGUACACAUAAGGGGUGUCACCGGUAACACGAUCUCGCAGAACCAAACCCGAGAGCAGCUUCUCGGGUUUUUACACUGUGUACUGGUACCUUUUUAAUCUGUCACCGGUUAACAGUCUUUUUAGGACUUAGCCAAUUUUUUCAGCUUUUCUUCGUUUUCGCUCGUUUUCGCUCGUUAGGCCUCCGAUUCAUCUCAAAUGGCACCGAGACCCCCGAAACAAGUUUUCGAGCGUGUUUCAACCAUCUUUUCAUCCAUGCUUAUGUCUGAUUUUGUCCAUGGUCCCACAUAGCUUUUCGGGCUCCGUUUUCACGCCCAACGCACACCGAAACACCCGAAUGCUCCCGAACUUCAAUCUCGUAUUGUUUUGACUCCAAUUUGCGCUGAGCAAUGCUAAAACCUUUCCAACUCCCUUGGAACUCAACUUUAACCUUUCCAAUAUUGUUGGAAUGUUAAAUAGACUUUGUCUAACUAUUCCUUUCGCACACUUUAGUUAAUUUGACUAACGUUCGAUAUUCUCUACCGAGUUUCGGUAUGUUACAGGUUUGGUCACUGCAAUGGUGUUCUUUUUUGAAAAAGUGAUCAUAUUUUCAUCCCGUAAGCCCUAUGCAGGUUAUUUGCUAGGGUUAUAUACCGAUAGGUGAGCAGAUUAGGGCAUUGUCUGAGGUCAUUAAACCAACAUGGCGGUUUGAUUAUGUAUAUUUAGACUGUUCAUCCGGUUGAUGUGUAUUUGCAUUUAAUAUUACAGUAGUAAUUAGUUCUAUAUCUGUUGAUUUGUUUCCUUUCAGCUCGUUAUUGCUAUUGUCUUUGUUAUACCUAUUCAUAUAAGUUGAUUACUAUCUCUUAUUUGCCGGUGAGUAUAGCUUGCCUUUGUCGGCUUGCGUUACCCACUGGAAAACAUGUAAACAUGUUUCUGACCCCCUGUUUGUACAGGCGACAUGUGAGAUGAGGGUUGAGAUGGUGCGUGAGAUUGGCACUAGAUAGUUGUGUCCCAAAUCUAAUCGCCGAUGACUUUUAUUUCCUAUAUUCCUUUCAAUUUACUAUCAGUUCAGUAUGGUUAGUUCAUUGGUUUAGAUUCAUUUUGGUUUAGUUUUAGUUCAUUAUGUAUUUAUUAAUAAUGAUGAAAUAAUUGUGGUUUAUUUAUCCGGUCAAUUACUUGUCAUAUGGAUUAUCGUUGGAUGAUUAGCUUUAUUCUGUUAUUACUCUACAAUAGAUGUUUAGUUAUACACAUUCUGUACCAAUCUGCUAGUUGUUUGUAUUGUAUUCUGUGUAGUUGUAUGUGUGGUUGAUGUUGUAUUGCAGGUGCUACAUCGUGAAUGUAUAGGAAAAAUUCUGUCCAUUUGUACAGAGGACCUUUUGUCUAUGUUGCGAGUCUACACAUGUUUUAGGGUGGUGCCUUUGGUGAUCGUUUUUAAAAAGUUUACACAUUUUUCGCUGAUUUCCGUAAAAAGGAUUUUACAAAAAAAACCCCGGGGUGUGAUAGGUGAUCCUUGAUAUUCUUAGAACUUCAAGAAAAUCCUAAAAAGGAGUUUUAACCGAGUUAGAACCCUCAAAUCUCACAUUUGAGAAAACUCCAAAAAAAACCCUAAAAACACCAAUUCACAUCUUCUCUUCUAACAAGAGAAACGUGGGUGAAGUAGACCUCUUCUCCCUUUUAGAACUUCCUUUUGAAGCCUUUUAUCUUCUGGAAGCCUCCAACCAAGUGGAUCUUCAAGAUCCAACGAUAGGGAUUUUAGGACACUGUUGCUUGAGGAAGAGAGGAGAAAGAGAGAGAGGUUGGAAGGGGGAAAUAGGUUGGAAAAUUAGGGUUUGUUGUGAAAACCCUAUUUAUAGAGGUGCUAUAAUAGCACAAAAUUUCUCAACCUUUCAAAUUGCAACCAGACAAAUCAAUGCUUUUAUGCUAGGUUUGGGUCCCUCGCCCGAACUUUUGUGUGCCCGAAUCUGUCGUAGUUGUGUCCGGUCCAGAAUCUGGAUGCCCACUCAACCUGCCUGAUUCACGAAUUGUACGCCCGCAGGAGAAAUCGGGCGUUUGAUUCCAUAAUUCUUCACGCGAACUUGCACUCUUGGGUUGAGCAUCCAAAAAUCAUUCGGGCGCCCACAAGGGAUCGCCGAAAAGUUGUUUUGGACGCCUACAGGGCAUUUCGGACGCUUGAAAACAAAGUCUUUCGCAUUCCAGUGCUCAGGUUGGGAGUCCGGAGGGGUUUCGAGCGCUCUCGAGUGAGAUUCGAAAUGAUUUGAGUGCCCACUGGGCAAUCUGUGUGCCUAAAAUUGGGCCUCCCACCAACUCUGCUCUCUGGAAAAGCGUCUACUCAUUCCGAGCACUGCAUCAAGCUGUUCAAAACUAUUUCAAGUGCCCAAAUCUCUGCUCCAGGCAUUCAAAAGGAUUGGUACUCAAUUUUCUUCUAUUUCGGAACUCUGUUUCGAUACUAAUUGAUUCCAAUACAAUCCAAACUCAGUCUAGAUUCCUUUAAGGCCACUUUAUUCAUGUCUAACAUAACUCAAUUAACACUUUGUCAUUUUAGCCAAAGUUUGGUGCAUCAGGAAAAGAGAUGUGAGAAGGGGUUGGCUAUCAAAAAGUUAUUUAUAGGUGUGCUAUAUUUGCACAUGAACCCUCCAAUUAAUCAUAUUUAAUUUAGGAUUUGCUAUAGAUAAAGGUCAAUCCUAACAGAUUUAGAACUACUUGAUAUGGUAUAUUUUAUCCCUAUCCCAUCUAUUUCAGAUUUAAAUAGAAUCCUAAUCAGAUUUUCAUGGGAAGUCGAUCUGGACUCUAUAUAAAGGUGUAUUAGUUCUGGCAUCUUCUCAUACGCAUUCUGGUGAAGAAUUACCGUCGGUUCCACACCAUACGGUAGAGUGCCUGAGAUAGGAGGAGAAACCAAAUCACCCAAGUUCGGUUCGUGACUUUCAAAUCAUAGCCUGACUUCACGUUUCCGCAAGUUGAUCAGGAAUUUCUUCUCGAUGGCGCUCUGUGAGUUAUCUUAUAUUCUUGUUUUGAUCCUGGAUUUUGGUAUGUAUUUAUUUCUCUAUUUAUUUUACAUACCUUAAAUUUCUAUCAAUUUGGUAUCAGAGACAUGUUCAAAAAUUAAUACUUUUUGCGCAAUAUUUAAUUGCAUAGAAAAUUAUUAAUAUGCCUAACGUGCAUAUCAUAGUUUAUAUUCAUCUCCCAUAACUAUGGAAUUAUUCAUCGUCGUGGACAUGCAUAAAAUUUAAUUGUUUAAUCUCGCGGUGGCCGCAUGCUCCGGCCACCUGUUUAAUUGUUGAUCUCACGGUGGCGGCAUACUUUGGCCGCGUGUUCGCAUGUAUAAAGUUUAAUUGCUACGUGCAUCGUCCGAAAGAUUGACGCCGAUGAAUAGUAUAAAUUUUGUUAUGAUUCGGUUGUAGUUCAUAGACUAAUUAAUUAAUACCAACUUUAUUUUGCAUGUGCGUUUUACUCCUAUAUUUGGCUCGCAUCAAGUUAUAAUCUGAUAUGGCCGUAUGAACCAUGACGAUGGUGGAAUUCUCAGCCUACAUGUUUUUUGUGGGCACGGAAACUUUUGCGUAUGAGCGUAUGACUCAUGUUGAGAAUAAUCAGUUUGCCACGUCACAUGUCAUGGCCAGGAUAAUUUUGUUGUGCGUACGGCUUUUCUUCUUGAUGCGUGCUAAUUAUAUAUUAAUUAUUUGUUAAUUAAUGAUGUUUCGAUUCAUAAAGACAUUAUGUUUUAUAAUGUGAUGUGGAUAUGUAGAAUUUGUUCACAUAAGAUUUUAAUCUCGCAUUAGUUUAUUUUAUAUCUGUGGUCAAAUUAGAAUAUAUAAAGUUUAAAUUUGAUUGCGAUUUUAUAUUUUAAAUUAUCGCAUUUAUAUUCAUAUUUUGACUAGAUGAACAUGAAAUUUAAAUAAUCAUAAUUAUUUUCGAUUAUUUAAUAUUUGGCACUAAGUUAAAUUAAUUUAUUUUUUUGAUUGGUUAGGUGCAAGCCAAAGUGGCCCUAAUUAAAAGAAAUAAUGAUUUCAUUUACUUUAAAGUAGCGUUUCCGGAUAAUUUUUAUGUUAAUUAUGCAGCACUAAGUCAGAUUAAUUUAUUGCUUCGACUGUUCGGGUGCAGGCCAAAGCGGCCCCGACCGGAAGAAAAGAUAAAUUAAUUACUUUAAAGAAGUGCAUGCGAAAAUUGCACCCUGAUAUUAUGUUUAGUCUGCUUCCAAAGGAGGUCUAGACAUGAAGGUAAAUGGGUGGUAUAGGAUGGUAAUUUUCUUGUAACUCGUUUGGAGAAAUUUGUCUGGCCAACGCUGACAAUUUCUUCAUGUGGAAAAUUUGAAAUUAUCACGACCUACAGAAAGUUUAAAUUAAUCUCUGAUAAACAGAUUGCAUAUUUAUGCUCAUAACUCUGCUCCCAAAGGAGGGGUUGUGAUGUCAUAUAAAGUAUAUGCGUAAGGAAUGAUUGCAUAUUUAUGCUCAUAACUCUGCUCCCAAAGAAGGGCUUGUGAUGUCAUAUAUAGCAUAUGCAUAAAGAACGAAAAAAUACUUAUGUUCAUAACUCUGCUCCCAAAGGAGGGGUUGUGAUGUCAUAUAAAGUGUAUUUGUUUAAUUUUGGUGUGGUAAUUUAUUAUGUGGUAUUUUAUUAAUAAAGCAUGCAUUUUAUUUUUCAGCUAUGACUCCAUUUUCUGUUCCUAUUGGUGAAUCUGUUCCUAUACUUAAUGGUUCUAAUUAUUCAGAGUGGAAAGAACAGAUCAUAUUUAUUUUGGGCUAUAUGGAUUUAAAUUUGGCUCUGUGUGCUGAGCAACCGCCUAAGAUAGUGAGGCCAAUGACUCCACAGCAGGAAUCCGUACAGGAAAAGUGGGAGUGAUCCAACCGCUUAAGUUUGAUGCUCAUAAAGUCAAGGAUAUCAAAAAGCAUAAGGGGAUCAAUCCCAGAAUGUGAUAAAGCCAAGGAUUAUCUAAAGGCCGUUGAGGAGCAGUUUGUCAGCUCCGAUAAAGCCUUUGCGAGCACCUUAAUGAAUAAACUGUCUUCCAUGAAAUACUCCGGAAAUGGCUCGAUUCGCGAGCAUAUUAUGGAAAUGCGAGAUAUUGCAGUGCAACUCACCGCACUUGAAGUAACUGUGACGCCCCGACUUCCCAGGGGGUCACCCAUCCUAGGACUACUCCCGUCCUAGCACGCUUAACUCUCUUAACCUCUUGGGCCUUACCACCACCCAAAAUGCUUAAGCCGGAUUAAGAGUUUAGCCCUAUUAUAUCUCAUAUAUAGGACUAUCUGGGGUCUCACAGUAACCAUCUCUGAUUCAUUCUUAGUGCACUUUAUUUUGAACUCUUUGCCAUCUGAAUACGAACCAUUUCAGAUAUCUUAUAACACACAUAAAGAUAAAUGGUCAAUUAAUAAAUUGCUGACCAUGUGUGUGCAAGAGGAAGGCGGAUUAAUACAAGAGAAACAAAAUACAGCCAACUUUGUUUCUCAAAGAGAUAAAUAAAGCGUGCGAAGAAUGGCAAGGGCAAGAAUGACUCAAAAAGAAAGAACAAGAAAGUUCCAUCUGGUUCACAAGGCCAAUCAAGUAAUUGGACUCUCAAGUGCUUCUUUUGUAAGAAAAAGGGUCAUAUAAAGAAUGACUGCCAAAAGUAUCAAAAAUGGCUCCAGAAGAAAGGUAAAUUUCUGGUUUUGAUGCAUGAGUUGCAUUUAGUUUCAGUUCCAUCAAUACUUGGUGGAUUGACUCUGGUGCCACAUGCCACGUGGCAAAUUCCGUGCAAGGAUUUCAGAAUCGCAGAAAAUCCAGUAAAGAUGAAGCGACUAUCUAUACAGCUGAAGGAAAUCCAACUAAAGUAGAAUUUGUAGGAACAUUUAGAUUAGUUCUUUCUACUGGUUACAUUUUGGAUUUAGUUGAUACAUUUUAUGUUCCAAAUUUUUCUAAGAAUUUAAUUUCUAUUUCGAAACUUGUUGGAUUGGGAUAUAGUUUCAGUUUUAAUAAUAAAGUUUUUUCUUUAUCCUAUAAAUCUCAGAUAGUUGGCUCUGGUGUUUUGGAAAAUAAUCUAUAUAAAAUAUUUUUGGAUGAUUCAUAUAGUGAAAUCUUUCUUACCAUGCACAGAAAUGUUGGAUCAAAAACGUGGCAUUAACAAUGAAAGGUCAUCCAUGUUAUGGCACAAGAGGUUAGGACAUAUCUCGAAACAGAGAAUCCAAAGGUUAAUUAGAGAAGACAUUUUAGAUGAUUUGGACUUCUCUGACUUUGAAAUAUGUGUGGACUGCAUAAAGGGAAAGCAGACCAAAACUUCCUCUAAAGGUACUAAAAGAUGUGAUGGAACAUUAGAGUUGAUUCAUACCGAUAUAUGCGGACCUCCUUUUGUUUCAAUUACUGGCCAUAAAUAUUUUAUCACAUUCACUGAUGACUACUCUCGAUAUGGCUAUCUCUACUUGCUUAAAGAAAAAUCUGAAGCAUUAAAUGCCUUUAAGGCAUAUAAGACUAAAGUAGAGAAUCAACACGAGAAAAGGAUAAAAGUAGUCAGAUCAGAUAGGGGUGGUGAAUAUUUUGGUAGACAAACAGAUAAAGGCCAAAUCCCUGGGCCUUUUGCUAAAUUUCUAGAGCAGUGCGGAAUUGUUCCACAGUACACCAUGCCAGGAACACCUGACCAGAAUGGUGUUGCUGAAAGAAGAAACCGCACAUUAAUUGAUAUACUCAAGAGUAUGAUUAGUAAUUCUACCCUUCCGAUAUCAUUGUGGAGUGAGGCACUCAAAAUAGCCCUGUAUAUUCUUAAUUGGAUCCCUACUAAGGCUGUCACUAAGACUCCUUUUGAGUUUUGGAUAGGUAGGAAACCCAGUUUAAGACAUUUUCAUACUUGGGGUUGUCAAGCUGAGGCCAAAUUAUAUGAUCCACAAAUAAAGAAAUUGGAUCCUAGAACCAUAUCAGGAUAUUUUAUUGGCUAUUCAGAAAGAUCCAAGGGGUAUAAGUUUUACUGUCCAUCACUUUCUAUAAAGAUUGCAGAAACUAAAAUAACACGGUUUAUUGAGGAUGGUGCAAUUAGUGGGAGCUUUGAACCUUGGUUCAAUGAGUUUGAGGAAAUUCAAGAACAUUCGGAUUCUGUACAUGAUAGACCCACUAUUGUCCCUCUCGAUUUGAUGGUUCCUAUUCCAGUAGAACAACAAAUCGUUUUGGAACCACAAAAUCAUUGUGAACCUAUCAUUGAUAAUUCACAUCAAUAUGUACAAAUGGAAAAUUCACAUCAAAUGUACAAGUGAAUAAUCCAUAUCAAGAUGUACAUGUGGAUAAUCAUAUAGAUUUAAGAAGAUCCUCAAGACAGAGAAGACCGGCUAUAUCCAGUGAUUAUAUCGUCUAUCUUUAUAAGAAUGGCCAGAGUUUAGAUGAUCCUCUUAAUUUUUCCGAAGCCAUAAAUAGUAAUAAUUCUACGGAAUGGUACAAUGCCAUGAAGGAUGAGAUAGAAUCCAUGAACCACAAUAAGGUGUGGGAUCUUAUUGAGUUACCUAUAGGAGUUAAACCCAUAGGAUGCAAAUGGGUUUAUAAAAUCAGAUGGGACUACAAAGGUAACAUAGAGAGAUACAAAACCCGUCUUGUGGCAAAAGGAUUUACUCAGAAAGAAGGUAUUGACUAUAAAGAGACUUUUUCUCCACUAUCUAGAAAGGAAUCUUUCCGUAUUAUUAUGGCUCUGGUUGCUCAUUUUGAUCUCGAGCUAUAUCAGAUGGAUGUCAAAACUGCUUUUUAAAUGGGGAUCUCUAUGAAGAGGUGUAUAUGUAUCAACCUGAAGGAUUCUCGCAAAAGGGAAAGGAGCACUUGGUAUGCAAAUUAAAGAAAUCAAUAUAUGGACUAAAGCAGGCCUCCCGACAAUGGUAUUUAAAUUUAAACAAACUAUUUUAACUUUUGGUUUUAAGAAAAACAUUGUUGAUCAAUGUAUUUAUUUAAAAGUUAGUGGGAGUAAAAUAAUUGUCUUUAGUCAUUUAUGUUGAUGAUAUUUUGCUUGCCAGUAAUGAUCUUGGGCUAUUGCAUAACACUAAAGAAUUUCUUUUCCAAAAUUUUAAAAUGAAAGAUUUAGGUGAGGCCUCAUAUGUUCUUGGUAUUGAAAUCAAAAGGGAAAGACAUAAAGGUUUACUCAGUCUAUCUCAAAAGGCCUACAUAAAGAAAGUUUUGAAAAAUUUUGAAAUGCAUAAUUGUAAGCCCAGUGUUGCUCCUGUCCAGAAAGGGGAUAAGCUUAAUUCUUUUCAGUGUCCCAAGAACCAAUUAGAAAUUGAACAGAUAAAAAACAUAUCCUAUGCCUCUACAGUUGGUAGUCUUGUGUAUGCACAAUUGUGCACACGUCCGGAUAUUGCUUUUGCCAUUGGAUUAUUUGGCAGAUAUCAAAGUAAUCCAGAUAUGAAGCAUUGGAAGGCUACUAAGAAGGUUGUGAGGUAUUUGAAGGAAAUUUUGGAUCAUAUUGCAUGUUACGAUACCACAUCACAGGCUUUUUGGCUUAGGAGUUUUAUCACAGACUUAAGAAUUGUGGACUCCGGUGUUUAUCCAAUAAAGAUUUUCUGUGAUAGUUCAGCUGCGAUUUCCUUUGCAAAUAACAACAAGAUUACAGUGGGGUGUAAACACUUGGACACUAAAUUUCUUGUUGUGAGAGAGAAGAUAGAUGAAGGUUAUAUUACAAUUAAAUACAUCAGUACCAAGUGAAUGAUUGCAGACCCAAUGACCAAGGGGUUGGCACCUGGGUCAUAUACGGAUCAUGUUAGAAAUAUGGGCUUGAUUAGUUCUUUCGAUGUAUAAAAUUGUAAUACUUAUUUUCUUUCAAUAAAGUUAAAGUUUAAUGCAGCUGUGUUGGACCAUUUAAUAGAUGUAAAAUUUCGUCUAUUAACGAAUGAAUAUACAGUUUAAGUUCAUUCAUAAAGUUGUGUCAUAUAAAGUACUCGGCUAGAAGGUGAAGAUGAUACGGUAAUUAUGGAAGAAAAUUUUCGUUAUGAAGAGGUGGACCGCCAUAGUUCCUAUCAUUGUAGUCUUUUAGUUUGAGCUAAAGAUCAAGCGAGUUCUAAGGUAUUUGACCAUAAAGUUUCCAAUAAUGCGCAAUAGAGAUUGGAGUAUAGAAAAUCGGUUAAUGGAAUAUGAUUAAUAUGAGCUAAGUGGGAGAUUGUUAGGAUUUCUAUAUAUUGUGGCCCAAUUAAUCAUAUUUAAUUCAGGAUUUGCUAUAGAUAAAGGUCAAUCCUAACAGAUUUAGAACUACUUGAUGUGGUAUAUUUUAUCCCUAUCACAUCUAUUUUAGAUUUAAAUAGAAUCCUAAUCAGACUUUGAUGGGAAGUCGAUCUGGACUCUAUAUAAAGGGGUAUUGGUCCUGCCACCUUCUCAUACGCAUUCUGGUGAAGAAUUCCAUCGGUUCCACACCAUACGGUAGAGUGUCUGAGAUAGGAGGAGAAACCAAAUCACCCAAGUUCGGUUCGUGACUUUUAGAUCAUAGCCUGACUUCACGCUUCCGCAAGUUGAUCAGGAAUUUCUUCUCGAUGGCGCUCUGUGAGUUAUCUUAUAUUCUUGUUUUGAUCCUGGAUUUUGGUAUGUAUUUAUUUCUCUAUUUAUUUUACAUACCUUGAAUUUCUAUCAGAUCCUUGAUAUUCUUAGAACUUCAAGAAAAUCCUAAAAAUGAGUUUUAACCGAGUUAGAACCCUCAAAUCUCACAUUUGAGAAAACUCCAAAAAAAACCCUAAAAACACCAAUUUACGUCUUCUCUUCUAACAAGAGAAACGUGGGUGAAGUAGACCUCUUCUCCCUUUUAGAACUUCCUUUUGAAGCCUUUUAUCUUCUGGAAGCCUCCAACCAAGUGGAUCUUCAAGAUCCAACGAUAGGGAUUUUAGGACACUGUUGCUUGAGGAAGAGAGGAGAAAGAGAGAGAGGUUAGAAAGGGAAAAUAGGUUGGAAAAUUAGGGUUUGUUGUGAAAACCCUAUUUGUAGAGGUGCUAUAAUAGCACAAAAUUUCUCAACCUUUCAAAUUGCAACCAGACAAAUCAAUGCUUUUAUGCUAGGUUUGGGUCCCUCGCCCGAACUUUCGUGUGCCCGAAUCUGUCGUAGUUGUCCGGUCCAGAAUCUGGAUGCCCACUCAACCUGCCUGAUUCACGAAUUGUACGCCCGCAGGAGAAAUCGGGCGUUUGAUUCCAUAAUUCUUCACGCGAACUUGUACUCUUGGGUUGAGCAUCCAAAAAUCAUUCGGGCGCCCACAAGGGACCGCCGAAAAGUUGUUUCGGACGCCUGCAGGGCAUUUCGGACGCUUGAAAAUAAAGUCUUUCGCAUUCCAGUGCUCAGGUUGGGAGUCAGGAGGGGUUUCGAGCACUCUCGAGUGAGAUUCGAAAUGAUUUGAGUGCCCACUGGGCAAUCUGUGCGCCUAAAAUUGGGCCUCCCACCAACUCUGCUCUCUGGAAAAGCGUCUACUCAUUCCGAGCCCUGCAUCAAGCUGUUCAAAACCAUUUCAAGUGCCCAAAUCUCUGCUCCAGGCAUCCGAAAGGAUUGGUAUUCAAUUUUAUUCUAUUUCGGAACUCUGUUUCGAUACUAAUUGAUUCCAAUAUAAUCCAAACUCAGUCUAGAUUCCUUUAAGGCCACUUUAAUCAUGUCUAACAUAACUCAAUUAACACUUUGUCAUUUUAGCCAAAGUUUGGUGUAUUAGGAAAAGAGAUGUGAGAAGGGGUUGGCUGUCAAAAAGUUAUUUAUAGGCAUGCUAUAUUUGCACAUGAACCCUCCAAUUCGUCAAAUUUGCAUUUAAAAGGAUUGCUGCCUCCACACCAGGUUUCAAGCGCCCGCUUGAUCUUUCUGGCCGGCAGGUUUACUCUGGGAUCCCGAAUUGAGCAUUGGAAAAUUGAUCUAGGUGCCCACCCAACCAUCUUGUAGUAGAUUCAGAUGCCCAUAAGGCAAACUGGGCUACCGAAUAUUUAAUGAUUCGAGCGAUCCAUCCUCUCAGGUAGAUCAUCCGGAAGCAAAAUUAAUCAUCCGUGAGAUAGCCUGAAUGAUUUCGGACACCCCCAGAAAGAUGCGAAUGCCCGAAUAUUUAACAGUCUACGCACCUUUGCUCUCGGGUAUAGUGUCCGCUAAGAAACGGGUGCUCGAUUGAACGAUCCGUAAGUCUUCGAGCACCCGAAAUAUUUUUCAUGCAUCCGGAAAGACUGGAAAAUUUAUUUCCUCUUUUUUUGAAGCCCGGAGUCGGUCCUAAUUGGUUCCAACUCUCAUCUCACUCAAUCUAGACUUCUCCAAAUCUAUUUUAACCAUGUCUAGCAUGAUCUUAAACCUCAUUUUGCCUAUUAGGCCAAACUUCAGUGUAUCUUACUGAAUUUCAGUAUAUUACAUCUACAUAUUGAAAUUUUAUAAUAGUUAAAUCAAUCAACUCUUACAUCAUAUUCUUGUAUUUUUUAAAUUUUAAAUUUUAAAUUUUAAAUUAUUAUUUUUAAUUAUCUAAAUUUUAAAUUUGACAUUUUAUAUUUGUAACUUGAGAUUUGAUUUAAAAUUUAAAAUUUAAAAGUUAUAACUUUAUUUUUAAAUUUGAGAUUUAAAAAUAUAGAUUUUAAUUUUGAAUUUUUUAGUUGUAAAAGUUAUCUAUUUAAAUUUAAAAAUUUAAAUAUAAAAUAAAAAAAUUUAAAUAUAAAAUAUAAUAAUUGGGGCAAUAUUAUUAUUUUCUAUUUAUAACUAUCCACUAUUUUUCUUAUUCUAUCUUAUUUAUCCAAACGCUAUUUUUCUUAAUCCUGGAAACAACUCAAUUAUCAUCCAAACGCAAAAUUGGUCUAUUCCAGACUUAACCCUAAACUUAACCAUCUCUAAAAUAACUAGUUCUUACUUAACUCCGAACCAAACGAAGCCUUAGGGGUUAAUUUCAUACAGGUCCCUACAAAUAUAGUGAAUUGCAAAUAUAUCCCUUAUAAAGUUCAACUUUCAUAUGUUGUCACUACAAAAGUCCUGAUGUUUUCAAAUAUAAUCCUGCCGUUAGAAUCCGUUAGAAAGUUUUAGUUAACCACAUAGGUUAAAUACCGAACCCUGAUUAUUAAUAAGGUGAAUUGACCUUUUUACCAUUUUCAAUUAACAUAGAGGGAUAUAUUUGUGAUGGUAAAAAGGCUAUUUUACUUAUAAAAUAGACAGUGCCUUAACGGUAACAAACCAGAGGGACAUAUUUAAAAAUAUUAGGGAAAACUUCAAAAACCCCCCUGUGGUUUCACACUUUUUCAUUUUAGUACCCUGUGGUUUGAAGUGUAUCAAGUUAGUACCCUGUGGUUUCUCACUUUAUCACUUUAGUACCCUGUGGUUUAAAAUGUAUCAAGCUAGUACCCUGUGGUUUUGCACUUUAUCACUUUAGUACCCUGUGGUUUCACACUUUAUCACUUUAGUACCUUGUGAUUUAAAAAACUAUAGGGUACUAACUUGAUACAAAAUUAAAACCACAGGGUACUAAAGUGAUAAAGUGCAAAACCACAGGGUACUAACUUGAUACACUUUAAACCACAGGGUACUUAAGUGAUAAAGUGAGAAACCACGGGGUACUAACUUGAUACAUUUUAAACCACAGGGUAUUAAAGUGAAAAAAAUUGAAACCACAAGGGGGGUUUUUGAAGUUUUCCCAAAAUAUUAUAACUUUUGUAUAGACAACAUAUGAAAGUUGAACUUUGUAGGGAUAUAUAUUUGCAAUUUGCUAUAUUUGUAGGGACCUGUAUGAAAUUAAUCCAAAAACUAUAUAGUGUUGCUAAAAUCCUAAUAACCUUUAGAUUAACAAUUGUAAUCUUUACAUCUUCUUUUUGAUUGUAGACUUGGGAUUCAUUUGGGAUUUGCUGGGAGAUUGUAUUACGCACGGUGGAAAAGUAAAAAAAUAAAAAAUAAAAAAAUAUUUUUUUGUAUGGCAUUCUGCAUAUCAUAAUAAAUCGGGUAUGAUAUAUUUUGUGCGAUACCACCAGAGAAAGCUGAAGCAUGUCUCUAUAUUCUUUCAUUUUAUUCAUCUAUUAAUCUUAGAUGGGCCUCAACACCAAACUUAAGUAUUUCUCUUAAAUUUUUACGAUGAAAAUGUAUGAAGCCCCCUCACCUCUAGGCCAUUCUAAAAUGAGCAUCCUCUAUUCUAAUUUUUUUUUGUUUUAACAAUCGAGUAAUUUUUAUCAACUAAAUUGGAAAUUUUAUCAAAUUUGUGGCGAUUUUAGCAAAUUUAAUGGUUUUGAUCACUAUUACCCAAAUGAGACUAGAAAAGUCAACAACCCAUGGCUACCGGUCAACUUAAAACUUGAGGAGGGUGUCAAUAAAAUAAAAAGUAAAAAUUAGAAGUUGAGGGGGCCAUUUCAAAAUUAGAAUAUAUUUUCCCCCUUAAACACUAGACACUGCAAGUAAACAAGUAAAAACUCUGAUCAGUGCAAAGAUUAAGGCAACCCUCAUUGUCUCAAAGUUAGAAUAUUUUUACCCCCAUAAUUUAUGCCACCACACACUACACAAGAUUUUUUUUAAUUAAAUUUGGCAAUUUCUUUUUCCAUUUAAAUCCUAAUUCUCCCUUUCCACAUUCUGUUUCUCUCCAUUUUCUUGCUACUCUCCCUCUCUCUCUCUCAAAUUAAAAAAAAAAAAAAAAAAAAAAAAAAAAAAAAAAAAAAAAAAAAAAAAAUAAGAAUCUAUUAUAUAGAUAGAUAUUGAAGUUAUAUCUCGGAUUCCAAAAAAAGAGAAUCAUUUCUUUCAAUACUCACUUAUUAUUAGUUAACAAUCCUAAUCCUCAUAUGCUUAAUUCUGAUAGGAAAUAAAUAGUAAAAUAAUUAUUCAUCGAAUGACUAUUCAUCUAUUGUAUUUUCAUCAAAUAGGGGCAGAAAGUUCUAUGAAAAAUGGUGGUUCAAUUCGAUGUUGUCUAACGAAAGUUAGGCAAUUUUUUAUUAAAUAAAAAAUAUAAUAAUAAAAAUAAAAAAUAAAAAAACAAAAAAAACAAAUAUAAAAAGAAAAAAAUAAACACAAAUAAAAAUAGAAAAAAAAACAAAAAAAAAAAUAAAAAAAAAAAAAAAAAAAAAAAAAAAAAAAAAAAAAAAAAGAAAAAAAAAAAAAAAAAAAAAAAAUAAAAAACAAAAAAAAAAAAAAAAAACAAAAAAAACAAAAAAUAAAAUAAGAAAAUAUAGAAUAAUAAAAAUAAAUAAUAAUUAAAAAAAAUAAAAAAAAAAAAAAGAAACAAUAAAAAAAAAAAAUAAAAAAAAAAAAAAAAAAAAAAACAAAAUUUUUUUCAAUUAAAAUACAAAUUUUCAUCGAAAAGAGAAAUAGUUUAUAAAUAAAGAAUUCGUUCUCGCAUAACCUUGUAUCAUAUAAUCAAAUAAUAAGUUUAUAUUGCAACAUGGAACGAAAAAGACAAUAUACAGGAUGAGUAGAUUGGAUAGAGGGAGCCCUUACCUUAGCUUAAUCUAAGGCCUGAAACUACGAGAUAUAAAAUGAUCCACUAAUCCUAUGGAUCCUUAGGAUUAAUUAUGGAUUGGAUCCAAAAAUAAAGAAAUAUUGAGUUGUUUCGUCUUCGUUCUAUUUAGAUCUUGUAUAUACUUGUAUAUUGUAUAUACUUGUAUAUAUAGUAUAUAGGUCUGUACAUGUGAUAUGAAAGAUAUAUGCAAAUAUAUAGUAUGUUAUGUUAGUAAGCUCAUUCUUUAUUUUAUUCGGCUCAAUCCUUUUUUUUAGGAAAAGAUUGGGCCGAGUUUAAUUGCAAUCAAUUAGGAGAACAAAGAGGAAUUACUAAACUCUACACGCUUAGUUUUUAUCUUUCUAUUUCGUUUUAUCUAGCUUAUCUACCGGUUCGAAGUCGAAUUUAAUCUGUUUCCAUACUUCACAAGCAGCGGCUAGCUCAGGGCUCCAUUUGCUAGCUUCACGGAUAAUUUCAGCACCUUCACGAGCAAGAUCACGUCCUUCAUUACGAGCUUGUACACACGCUUCUAAAGCCACCCGAUUAGCUACUGCACCAGGUGCAUUUCCCCAAGGGUGCCCUAAAGUUCCUCCACCAAACUGUAGUACGGAAUCAUCUCCAAAGAUUUCGGUAAGAGCAGGCAUAUGCCAAACAUGAAUACCCCCUGAAGCCACAGGUAUAACACCUGGCAUAGAGACCCAAUCUUGAGUGAAAAAGAUACCACGACUACGGUCUUUUUCAAUAAAAUCAUCACGUAAUAAAUCAACAAAACCCAAAGUCAUCUCGCGUUCCCCUUCCAGUUUACCUACUACUGUACCAGCGUGAAUAUGAUCUCCACCAGACAUACGUAAUGCUUUAGCUAGUACACGAAAAUGCAUACCAUGAUUUUUCUGUCUAUCAAUAACUGCAUGCAUUGCGCGAUGGAUGUGAAGAAGUAGGCCAUUGUCGCGGCAAUAAUGAGCCAAACUAGUAUUUGCAGUGAAUCCCCCAGUUAAGUAAUCAUGCAUUACGAUAGGAACUCCCAAUUCUCUGGCAAAUACGGCCCUUUUGAUCAUUUCUUCACAUGUACCCGCAGUAGCAUUUAAGUAAUGUCCUUUGAUUUCACCCGUUUCGGCCUGCGCUUUAUAAAUUGCUUCGGCACAAAAUACGAAACGGUCUCUCCAACGCAUAAAUGGUUGUGAGUUCACGUUUUCAUCAUCUUUGGUAAAAUCAAGCCCACCGCGUAGACAUUCAUAAACCGCUCUACCGUAGUUCUUUGCGGAUAAUCCCAAUUUUGGUUUAAUAGUACAUCCCAAUAGAGGACGACCAUACUUGUUCAACUUAUCUCUUUCAACUUGGAUGCCAUGAGGCGGGCCUUGGAAAGUUUUUGAAUAAGAAGUGGGAAUUCGCAGAUCCUCCAGACGUAGAGCUCGUAGGGCUUUGAAACCAAAUACAUUACCUACAAUGGAAGUAAACAUGUUAGUAACGGAACCUUCUUCAAAAAGGUCUAAAGGAUAAGCUACAUAAGCAAUAUAUUGAUUUUCCUCCCCGACAACGGGCUCGAUGUGGUAGCAUCUUCCUUUGUAACGAUCAAGACUGGUAAGUCCAUCAGUCCAAACAGUUGUCCAUGUACCAGUAGAAGACUCGGCUGCUACCGCAGCCCCUGCUUCUUCAGGCGGAACUCCGGGUUGAGGAGUUACUCGGAAUGCUGCCAAGAUAUCAGUAUCUUUGGUUUCGUAUUCAGGAGUAUAAUAAGUCAAUUUGUAAUCUUUAACACCAGCUUUAAAUCCAACACUUGCUUUAGUCUCUGUUUGUGGUGACAUAAGUCCCUCCCUACAACUCAUGAAUUAAGAAUUCUCACAACAACAAGGUCUACUCGAUAUGGAUUAGGCAUGAAUGAAACCUUUAACAAAAAUCUUUCAAAAAAUAUUCAAUAUUCAAUUAAUAUUAUCAACUCAUUAAAAUGUUAUGUUAAAACGGUUUGUUAUUAGACCAUGUAUUUGAUUCACCAAAUACAUCAUUAUUGUAUACUCUUUGAUAUAUAUAGCGCAACCCAACCCAAUCCUAAUCUUUGUUUUGCAGGUUUAUAAUUGAAUUGAUCCCUUUCUUAUUUUGAAUCUAAAUAUCUAAAUACUGAGAAAAAUUCCCCCUUGACAGUAAUAUAUGUUGUAUAUGUAAAUCCUAGAUGUGAAAAUAGGCAUAAUUCAUCCACGAAAGGGUAUAAUAUAAAGACGGAAAUCUAUAUGAAAAAUCCAAAAUAAAGAACAAAGGCCAAUAAGAUCCAAAUAAUAAAUCAUAAAUCGAGUUCGGGUUCGAAUUCCAUAAGUAAUAUAAUAUGGAUCUUUUUUUAUAUAAUGAUAGAGAAAUGAAACACAUUUAUUCACGAUUUCGUCUACUUGCAAUUUUUUUUUUGAGCCUUGUUGGCUGGUCACUCGCGUCGUUUCGAGGGUUCGAAAACGACAGGUCAGCGAUGGUGGGUUCCGGUGUCGAAAUUGACACUUUCGAAAACUCGGAUCGGAACGAUUGUCCGAUGAUAAUCGUUCCGAUGUGAGGAGGUGUGUUUGCUGCCAAGUCACACGAAUAAUUGUGUUUAGUGGCAGCGGGUGACUCGUAGCAUGAGUCGGUGAGUUCCGGGAUAGUUCGUGGGUCCCGGCGGAGUCCCGGUGAGAGUUUCUGGAAUUCCGGCGAGUUACGGCAAUCGAUUUUGGGAAACCGAUUCCCAUAGGUUUAUUGGUGGGAAUGUGAGUUUGUGUUUCGUAUAUGUGGGUUGGAUACUAACCCGGUGGACCCUUUGUAGGUCCGGUUGACUUUCUUCUGCAGUCGGGAGAUUAG
Molecule: long non-coding RNA, 38357 nt
Filed under: Ananas comosus (pineapple)
Lineage: Eukaryota; Viridiplantae; Streptophyta; Magnoliopsida; Poales; Bromeliaceae
Description: long non-coding RNA (ACOM_LNC019974)
Source: RNAcentral